ACACUCCUACGGGAGGCAGCAGUGGGGAAUUUUGGACAAUGGGCGAAAGCCUGAUCCAGCAAUGCCGCGUGAGUGAAGAAGGCCUUCGGGUUGUAAAGCUCUUUUGUCAGGGAAGAAACGGUGAGAGCUAAUAUCUCUUGCUAAUGACGGUACCUGAAGAAUAAGCACCGGCUAACUACGUGCCAGCAGCCGCGGUAAUACGUAGGGUGCAAGCGUUAAUCGGAAUUACUGGGCGUAAAGCGUGCGCAGGCGGUUUUGUAAGUCUGAUGUGAAAUCCCCGGGCUCAACCUGGGAAUUGCAUUGGAGACUGCAAGGCUAGAAUCUGGCAGAGGGGGGUAGAAUUCCACGUGUAGCAGUGAAAUGCGUAGAUAUGUGGAGGAACACCGAUGGCGAAGGCAGCCCCCUGGGUCAAGAUUGACGCUCAUGCACGAAAGCGUGGGGAGCAAACAGGAUUAGAAACCCCAGUAGUCCC
This 472-nucleotide ribosomal RNA is filed under the name uncultured organism. Its description in RNAcentral is "partial 16S ribosomal RNA". It matches the Rfam family "Bacterial small subunit ribosomal RNA", at positions 333 to 797 of the family's 1533-position model. The record is from RNAcentral.